Molecule: long non-coding RNA, 2491 nt
Filed under: Theobroma cacao (cacao)
Lineage: Eukaryota; Viridiplantae; Streptophyta; Magnoliopsida; Malvales; Malvaceae
Description: long non-coding RNA (TCAC_LNC000844)
Source: RNAcentral
CCGUUUGUUGGACCAUGAACAGAUGCUUCAUAUUCAGAUAGCAGACAACCAACAACCUCUGCAGCAAAAAUUUGACACAGACACAGAAGUAGUGAUUGAUGAUGAAGAUACAUAUUCAUCUAGAGAGAAACAAAGUGAUUUAUUGAUAAAGAAUGCCUCGAUCAUCAGAUCACAUGAAAGUUCUUAUCCUAUUUAUAUGAAAAAUAAUAGUAGGAAAAUGUUUUCACAAUAGGCUGAACAAGAAUGCUGGCUCUAUCCAGAGAAUAUUACAUUGUUAAGUAGGCGUCAGAAGCAACAAGAUCUCUAUUCAUUUGUCACUAUCAACUCCAAAAGCAUUGAGGUACGGUUAGUUGCCAUGAGCAAAAUGGUAUUGAAUGGUUAUGGAGCUUAAACCACAGAGAAAGACAAGUAGUAAGAGCUGGAAAUUCAUUUUACAGGGGUGAAUGGGUGUAAGAUUCCAGUAUGUAGGACAUGAAAUGAUGCCUAGUUGAUCACUCCUAUACCUUACGACCUAUAGACAAAAUUACACCAAAAUUUUGGUUCAUGAGUAUUACAAAGCCUAAACAUGAGCAUCAUCAUCAACUUUUGGUGAAGCAACAAUCAAUAUAAAAAAUUAAAGGAAAAUGAAAGAAACCAGAUUUUUAGAAGAAUAAAAGAACACAGAUAUUUAAAAUAUUUUAUCCUGAUGACAAAAUAAAAAUGUUUGUGACCUGGCAGUCUGCUAUCAAUUUCUUUUCCAUGCUUUGUAUAGCAUUCAAGCAUCUUAAAUCAGCCUCCAUAAAUGCAUUUCUUCUGUAGUCCCGCAUCCAUUGCUCAAUUUAAGUAAUAGUAUCAAAGUAACAUAUUACAUGAAAUGCAAUAGCAAAGGUAGAGAAUUGCCAUGAUGUCCAACAUCCAAUUAAAGAAAAAAUUGCAAAAAUGCAAACAACCUCAUUUGUACUCUUAGAGAUGCUAAAAAUUUCUUCAGUUGGUUAACUGAUAACCUCAAAUGCCUUUGUGAAGAUAUUAUGAAGCCUUUCAUAUUUCUGUCUUGUCAAACUAGCACCAACAGCACUAACAUUAAAUGCAACAAAUGAUUUCCAAAUUGCCUCAUCAUGUGCUUAUCUUAAGGAACCUAAAAUUACCAGACUAAAUUUAAUAAAUAAGAAUGGCAGAUGAUCAUAAUAUGAAUUGGACCCUUUUUUUUCUUUUGGCCAUUGAAAAUGCACCUUGUUAAACACCCCAAAAGACACCUACCUCUUCAGCAGGCUUUGUGCAGUCAAAAGCAGACAAAUAAACUUCUUAAGCUAUAUCAUAUACCCUUUGACACUCUAAUUCUUUUACACUCUGCAAAGAAUGAAAAGUACAAGUGAUUAAAACCAGUUUUCUCAACUUAAAUGGUGCAGGCUUGAUCACAUGAACAGUCAGCAGAUGGAAACCCAAAAGAAAAGCAGCUACUAAAGGUUAAGGGUGCAAGAAUCACAAGAUUAAUCAUUAACUUUUCAGAAACUAAGAAAGAUUAUAUUUGCUUGCACCCAAUGAUCACAACUUAAGUUGCUUCAAUAUCACCAACUUCACUUCAAAACCCACUUUUGUUGCCUAGCCAUCCAUGCAUAUUUACAAUAUAUUUUCAAGUAAAUAUAAAAUGUAAACUGUUUGUUUCAGACUUUCAGGAAAUGGAUGAAACAAAAGAGAACCCAAUAGUUUAAUGCCUUCUAGUUGGAUGCUCCUAAAUGAUUCCCACUGAAUUCUUUCUACUGUAUGCUUGAACACAACUUUCCUAAACUAGCUCCUUGUCCCAGAGGCCCAAAACUUGCACACCAGUAAUGCUACUUGACCGCUGAUAAGGAUUUGGUACUUUUAUGCACUACAAUUAGUCAAAAUCAUUUGUCCUUCCUUGUUAAGAGUGGAAACACAUGGAGCAGUCUAUGAUUAUUCAUGGCUUCCUUCAUCAUCUCUUAGCAGGAUACUAGUCCAAAUCACAGGCCUUUUGCAGGUUUAUGUCUGUUGAGCUGAGAGUUAUAUCAAACAGAUAAAAUCUAAUGAAAUCUAACCCAAAAAUUUCAGUGUAACUUUUUUGUUUUCCUGGUAAAUAAUAUUUCACUACAAAAGCAUUUCAGCAUUCUUAAAAGUUCUCAGCUGUAGGGAAAGUCGACACUAAGUUAUCACUAAGAGUACCAUAGAUGGAAAAGAAAUAGAGACAUGGAAAGUCCAGGCAAUGUCGCCAACCUGCCACAAGGAUAAUAUUGUUGGUACUGCACCAUCUCUAAGAGCAUCCAAAAAGAUUUUGCUAUACCAGCAAGAAUGGUCCUGUUGAGGCAAAAUAAAAUAAAAUCUUCGUAUAAUGAGUUUAAGGGUAAGAUAUACCUGGUUUUUGGCAGUUUCAUCUUCUCCUUCUACGUAGCACUGGCCUCAAGGCUUUCUCUAGAUAAACACUAGGUGUUACGGUGUUACAUUUGCAUUAUCCUCUUUCAAGUCCAAGCAGAAGUUCUAAAAGUGACAAGUGAAAAAG